Molecule: ribosomal RNA, 434 nt
Filed under: uncultured Ruminococcus sp.
Lineage: Bacteria; Bacillati; Bacillota; Clostridia; Eubacteriales; Oscillospiraceae
Description: bacterial SSU rRNA
Rfam family: Bacterial small subunit ribosomal RNA
Source: RNAcentral
ACGGAAGGCAGCAGUGGGGAAUAUUGCACAAUGGGCGCAAGCCUGAUGCAGCGAUGCCGCGUGAGGGAAGAAGGUUUUCGGAUUGUAAACCUCUGUCAUCAGGGACGAAAAUGACGGUACCUGAGAAGGAAGCUCCGGCUAACUACGUGCCAGCAGCCGCGGUAAUACGUAGGGAGCGAGCGUUAUCCGGAAUUACUGGGUGUAAAGGGAGCGUAGGCGGGACUGUAAGUCAGAUGUGAAAUAUGCCGGCUCAAUUGGCAGACUGCAUUUGAAACUGCGGUUCUUGAGUGAAGUAGAGGUAAGCGGAAUUCCUAGUGUAGCGGUGAAAUGCGUAGAUAUUAGGAGGAACAUCAGUGGCGAAGGCGGCUUACUGGGCUUUAACUGACGCUGAGGCUCGAAAGCGUGGGGAGCAAACAGGAUUAGAUACCCUGGUA